UACGGAGGGGGCUAGCGUUGUUCGGAAUUACUGGCGUAAAGCGCGCGUAGGCGGACCUGCAAGUCGGGGGUGAAAGCCCCGAGGCUCAACCUCGGAACUGCCUUCGAUACUGCGGGUCUCGAGUCCGGGAGAGGUGAGUGGAAUUCCGUAGUGUAGAGGUGAAAUUCGUAGAUAUUAGGAAGAACACCAGUGGCGAAGGCGGCUCACCUGGCCCCGGUACUGACGCUGAGGCGCGAAAGCGUGGGGGAGCAAACAGG
This 257-nucleotide ribosomal RNA is filed under the name uncultured bacterium. RNAcentral describes it as "partial 16S ribosomal RNA". It matches the Rfam family "Bacterial small subunit ribosomal RNA", at positions 524 to 776 of the family's 1533-position model. The record is from RNAcentral.